This is a long non-coding RNA of Myotis brandtii (Brandt's bat), 440 nucleotides long. RefSeq lists it as uncharacterized. The transcript has 3 exons. The record is from RefSeq and is a predicted model, not a curated record. NCBI's taxonomy places the organism in Eukaryota, Metazoa, Chordata, Mammalia, Chiroptera, Vespertilionidae.
GCUCAGUAGCCUCCUGUGGCUGGUGGCUACCAUGCUGGACAAUGCUGACCUAGAGGGGCAAAAGCUAAGACCGCUCACCAUCUGAACCCUGGCCACUCUGCUGUGGGGCUCUUUAAAGAAAACAAAGGGAAAGGAAAGGUCAUUUCUCGACUGGUGAGACAGAAAGGAUCGCUGGGAACCUGGAACUGUAGGAGACAGUGUUCAACAACAGGAGUCAGAUGGAAAAGAUCAGUAACAAAAAAAAUCAGGAAAACAGUUCAAGACUUAGAAAACUUUGACAUCUUUUCCGUGACCAUCAAAACGUGAUUUUUAAAAGUUCCAGAAGAAGCCAUGUCAUUUGUAAGACAUCCCACCAAAUUUUAACUUGGUGCCACCUUUAGCACACAGCAAAACGCUAUGCCUUUGACAGGCCAUCUUGACUCAGAAACUUAAGAUGUUAA